GACGAACGCUGGCGGCGUGCUUAACACAUGCAAGUCGAACGGAAAGGCCCUGCUUUUGUGGGGUGCUCGAGUGGCGAACGGGUGAGUAACACGUGAGUAGCCUGCCCUUGACUUUGGGAUAACUUCAGGAAACUGGGGCUAAUACCGGAUAGGAGCUCCUGCUGCAUGGUGGGGGUUGGAAAGUUUCGGCGGUUGGGGAUGGACUCGCGGCUUAUCAGCUUGUUGGUGGGGUAGUGGCUUACCAAGGCUUUGACGGGUAGCCGGCCUGAGAGGGUGACCGGCCACAUUGGGACUGAGAUACGGCCCAGACUCCUACGGGAGGCAGCAGUGGGGAAUAUUGCACAAUGGGCGGAAGCCUGAUGCAGCAACGCCGCGUGCGGGAUGACGGCCUUCGGGUUGUAAACCGCUUUCGCCUGUGACGAAGCGUGAGUGACGGUAAUGGGUAAAGAAGCACCGGCCAACUACGUG
RNAcentral lists this ribosomal RNA (468 nucleotides) under uncultured bacterium. RNAcentral describes it as "partial 16S ribosomal RNA". It matches the Rfam family "Bacterial small subunit ribosomal RNA", at positions 28 to 507 of the family's 1533-position model. The record is from RNAcentral.